RNAcentral lists this ribosomal RNA (200 nucleotides) under uncultured bacterium. RNAcentral describes it as "partial 16S ribosomal RNA". It matches the Rfam family "Bacterial small subunit ribosomal RNA", at positions 8 to 233 of the family's 1533-position model. The record is from RNAcentral.
AGAGUUUGAUCAUGGCUCAGAACGAACGCUGGCGGCAGGCUUAACACAUGCAAGUCGAACGCGUGUAGCAAUACACGAGUGGCGCACGGGUGAGUAACACGUGGAUUAUCUGCCUUCUGGUUCGGAAUAACCCCGGGAAACUGGGGCUAAUACCGGAUAGUUCCUACGGGAUAAAGAUUUAUCGCCAGAAGAUGAGUCCG